AGGACUAUGAUGUACAGCGCGGCAGAAAGGAUUAUGAUAUGCAGCAGCAGUGCAUCGACUGGUAAAAACUCUGCGUGUUUAAGUGAUGCUACGAAAUAUAACAAAAUGCGUGCCGGGAGUGCCGUUAAUGCCGGGAGUGCCGUGAUAAUUUCGCGCAAGUUCGAAACGUCGAAAGCGAAUCUAUAGAUGAACGCAUUUCCGCUGCAUGCAACUACAAAUACUAGGACACGAUUUUUUCUCGACUUUGAGCUCGGCUCGGGGAAGGGAAAGAUCGAUUUUUAUGGGAUUCCGAUAAGAGGCAGAUUCCGAAGUGCUGCUGAGGUGCCUGGUUUUCUAGUCGGUUGAUCCCACGACUAAUUGCACCUUACAUUCUUCGAGCUUAUCUUUUGCUUUCUGUUUUGAGAGAAUAGUGCCUCACUUGACAAAUGCGGUCGUCUGAACACGGACGGAAUUUACGCGUAACGUCGCAUCUUGAACAAUUCGGUUCGAUUCGCUUGCGACGUCGGGAGUGUCGUUUAAAGUGAGUCGCACGAUUUUCGUAUUCGAGUAUGUGCGCGAGCAAUGCAUACGUCGCGAACGCGUGUGAGUGUCUCGAAAAAUCGCUCGCGUGCGAGGGUCUCGAAAGGAGAAGGACGCCUCGGGAAGCAUCGGGUGACAGCAGAGCAACGAAACAGUAUUAGCUAAAGUGCAGGCAGCGAUGGCAGCGAGUCACGGGAAGCAGACAUCACUAUUUGUCAAAAGGAAAAGACAGAUCGAUCACGAUAACGAUGGCUUUAGAGAUUUGAUCCCUGAAUGGAAUCGGCAAUGAAAGCACGUGAAUGUGCCAGCGGCAUUGAUUAGAGAGAAGUGAAAAUUAAGCAAAAGAGCUCUCAAUAUCAAGUGCUGUUACGUUAUUGAAAUCAAUGUACUUACCGCAC
This is a long non-coding RNA of Linepithema humile (Argentine ant), 917 nucleotides long. RefSeq lists it as uncharacterized. The record is from RefSeq and is a predicted model, not a curated record. NCBI's taxonomy places the organism in Eukaryota, Metazoa, Arthropoda, Insecta, Hymenoptera, Formicidae.